CUGCGGAGCUGCUGUCAACGCAUGCGCAUAAAUACUUCCGCAGGGCAAAUUUCAUUUUACGGAAAACGCUGCUUUCGUUUUGAUCAACUCAUAGAUCUUGCAAUAGUACGUUGUUGCAGUGUGUACAGGUGUUCUAAUAGAGACGAUGCGAGAGGAAAAGAGAAGGGGAGAAGUUUUUAAAGAUUUCCUAAAGAUGCACAUAAACGUUGAAAUUGGUUGAGGCACUGCAUCUGGAUGGAUUUGUACCCAUGCUGAAUGAACAUUCCUAUAUAUCUAUGUGUGUUCUGGGCACUUUGUGGUUUGGCACAUUGAUGUCAGAUCCCUAGAAUGAGACUUAUUUUCUCACCAUGUUCUCAUAAGGAUAUGUCUGUUGAUGCAGAAAUGCAGAACCAAGCAAUCAGAAGGAAUACUCAAAAAGGUAAAAAGUAUAGCAUUAAAGAAACUAGUCAAUUUAUAAAAAUAUUUCAUUUGAUGGAUAAUACAUGUACAUAUGCAUGUAUUUCAAGAAUGUCAUGAUUCAAAUUAGCAUCUGAUUAUAAUUUAAUGAUUCUGUACUUUUGUUUAUCAUAAGACAGUAAUUCAAGUAAGUGAUUAAUUUAGAAUUUAAGCUGAAGAAAUUCAAAUUAUUGACUUAUUACUUGAUUUUUCAUUAUGCAACACACAUAUUUUAUCUACAUAUAUAUAUAUGUUUAUUCACCAAUCAAGGGCCCUUGAGAGACAUGUACAGUUUAAGUAGCAAUUAGUUAUAACAAUAUAAAUAAAUAACAAUCAUUCAGAAGUACUAAUUCUGUCAGAUUUCACAUUUCAAAAAAAAAUUAAAAAAAUUCACAUUUCUGCACUGCACAUAUCAUAAUUAUAUAUGAAAUACUGACCGAAACAAGAUUUGAAUUAACAAUGAAAUAUACAAUAAUAAAUAACCGAAUUCAAUUGCUUCACACAUCUAAGGGCAGUGCCAGUUUCAGAGACAGUGGAUAAUGAUAAUGUUAUGUGAAUACAUAUGAAAUGGUAAUCAAUAUCAGUAUAAGAGUUUAGUAAAUACAAUAUGCAAAUAGAAUACACAUGUACAUGCAGGAUCCAGUUGUUCUGAAUGUUUUAUGCCUACAACUUUUACUAUGUAUAAACUACCCCAAAAUCAGGUGAAAUUGUAUAUUGUUUUAGUCAAUUACCUACAUUCUUUGAAGAAAUAUAUUUAGAAAUUAAUUAUUAUCCAUGUACCGGUAUGACUUUUGUAUUUAUUUGUAAUAAAAUGUGAUCAUUUUAAAAUUUUACAUUAUGUCCAUUUACAUCUACAUACAAAUAUUACCUUUCGAAAAGAAAAAGAUGGGGCAUAUUGUUUUUCAUUUGUCGGUCUGUCUGUCAAUCUAUCGGUCUGUAGACCAAGUCUUAUCUGCUCCAUAUCUCAAGAAUCCUUGGCUUGGCAAACAUCAAACUUUGUGAACAGGUACAUCUUAGAGAGUUGAUAACUUUAUUAAUUUUGAGGUCAGAUGGUCAAAGGUCAAUCCACUCUGGAUAUAGAAAGACAUUGUCUGCUCAAUAUCUCAAAUUGUUUUGUCACCACAAUUAAUAAGUAAGUAAGUAAGUAAAUGAUUUAUUAUAGUGACAUGUGUUUUAUACAUUACAGAAUUGAAAAAUACAUUAAAAAGAAUAAUAGGAAUUUAAACACCCGGCCCAAUAUGUCACUUUUAACAGAAAAAACCCAUUAAAUAAUAAAUACAGUGGUACACGUAUUACGCAUGGCUUUUACUAUUAUGGUAUAUGAUAGACUGUCUGUAGGUGUAUGCGGAGAACAGGAAAUUUGCAGUUUGUCUUGGAAAAUUUAAUAAUAGAAAUUUUGUUUUGUCUAAAUCUGACAUAUUGAUCACAGUGGGGUUAAAUCCGAUACUGGUAAAAAAGAUUACUCUAAGAUUUGAAUAAGAGGAACAAUGAAGUAAAAGGUGACAUUCAUCUUCUACACUAUCUGAAGAACAUGAAGUACAUAAAUGAUAUAUAACCCUGAUAAAUUUUGCACCAUGUGGAACAUACAUGUUUCUGAAACAUAUCUUGUUGAAUUUAUAUCUGCAGUAGAGCUACCUGGUGCCUAUUAAAGUGUGAAAAGAUGGUGUACUGGAGACGUACUUCUGCUACCCCUGGUGAGAGGGCCCGACCCAAAUGUCUGAUGUCAUUGGAGCAUAUAGAUCAGUUUCUAGCCACAUUGAUGAGACGGAAAGUCGGAUUGUAUGUUGAAGAUAUUGCUGAAUGCUUUGGAUUCUCAGUCACACCAACUUUCACCUCACUUUCCAUGAUGUCAGGAGCUUUGUUAGUGAUAUUCCACAUCUGAAACAUAAACAUCCAUGAAUUAUCAAUUUUGUGUGCAUAUGUUUUGCACUUUAAAUGAUUAAAAGUGUUUGUCAUUAAAUAUGCUUUUAAUAAAUAAAUUUAAUAAUUAU
Long non-coding RNA from Ostrea edulis (European flat oyster), 2426 nucleotides. RefSeq lists it as uncharacterized. The record is from RefSeq and is a predicted model, not a curated record. The transcript has 3 exons. Lineage: Eukaryota; Metazoa; Mollusca; Bivalvia; Ostreida; Ostreidae.